UUUUUUUUUUUCAAUUUUUUAUUAGAUAUUUUCUUCAUUUACAUUUCAAAUGCUAUCCCGAAAGUCCCCUAUCCCCCCGCCCUGCUCCCCAACCCACCCACUCCCGAUUCUUGGCCCCAGCAUUCCCCUGUACUGGGGCAUAUGAUCUUCAUAUGACCAAGGGCCUAAUGUGAAGCCCCCAUUUUUAGAAUGGCAAUUCUAACCAUAUAGAAGGCAGCUGAGGUGCAAAGAAACAGAACUCUCCUCUCUGACUUAACUACUCACCUGCUAUCGGGUCCCCAAAGCAUCACUAUCUGCCACUGUCACCUGAAGUGCCACCAGGUCUGCGGAUCAUAUGAUCCAAGUGGUAAAGCGGCCUGUACAGCAGCCUGGACCUGUUGAAGAGCCUUCUCCUGUUCCAGACCCCACUCGAAGCUAGCAGCUUUCCUUGUCACUUAGUAUAUGGGCCAAAGUCACACACCUAAGUGAGGAAUAUGCUGUCUCCAGAAUCCAAAUAGGCCUAGUAAAUGUUGUGCUUAUUUCUUAGCAGCAGGACGGGCCAGUGCAACAGCUUAUCCUUCACCUUAGAAGGCAUAUCUCUCCAUGCCUCAUAAUACUGGACUCCUAGAAACUUCACUGAGAGAUAUUCCACCUGAAGCACAGGCUCUACCUGCUCAAGGCUAAUGUUGUCGCGAUCUCUACAAUACUAACUCUACCAAAGGACUGAGCCAUUUGGAGGUAUUUUUAAUUAUGGGUGGAACCCACUGUCAUGAUGGAUUUCAGCUGUGCUUGCUGGUAUAGCCUGCCUACCAAAGAUUAAAAGGAGGCCAGUGAAGAUGAGACAUGCUUUGAAAGCAAGGAGCAAGUUUUAGACACUGUUUCCUGUCAUUCCACAGACGUAAGGGUCAUCAGUGUCUGGGAAAGACCUCCUUUGUACCCAGCAUCAUCAGGCAUCUUGAGAAACAAGGCCAAACAAAAGAUAAACAUCCAUGAUGAAAUGGACUGUGUAUGAUCAACUAUCAAAGUUCCACACAGAGAGGAGCAGCUCACGUGACAUAAUAAUGGGAAGCCUCUGCAGACUGUGAUGUUUCUCAAGUUCUUUGUGAUUUGAUCAUCUGUGCUCUGAAAUUACCUUUGAACAACCUGAACUUUGCUCUAUUUUCUUCUGGCCUGAUUCCCUUUAAACUGAUCCAAAUUUCAACGAAGCACACACACAUACAUUUGUAGACAGUGAGCGGUGGAUGUGUGUGUGUGUGUGUGUGUGUGUGUGUGUGUGUGUUGUAGUCAUUUAAUUUCCACGUCAACAUUCACAGUUCUACAUUCGUCCACGAAAGUCAAAUAAAAAGAAACUCGGAUCACUUUCAGUGUUCUUUGCCUGCCCCCUUUGGCUUGGUGGUCAUAUCAAAGAAUCAUGAAUGGGCAGAGAUU
Mus musculus (house mouse) is the source of this 1407-nucleotide long non-coding RNA. RefSeq annotates it as predicted gene, 34577. NCBI's taxonomy places the organism in Eukaryota, Metazoa, Chordata, Mammalia, Rodentia, Muridae. The transcript has 3 exons. The record is from RefSeq and is a predicted model, not a curated record.